GCGGGGCGGGCCGGGCCUUUCCCAGGACACCCACGGGUGUCAGCCGCACCCACCGAGCCCCGGCAGAGGGGAAGCCAAGUCCAGGCACCCCUCCUGGGCCCAGACCCGAGGCCUGAGCCGGGCAGCCACCGGAAGACCCGGUCCGGGGGGCCCGGGCUGCGGGGCCCUGUGCGCAGCUUCGCCCCGCUGUGUGUCCAGGCCUGGGCCUGGGCCGCCUGGUGCGCGGGCACCUCAGCCCCAGGACGGCUGCGGGGCGACCGCUGCCUGCAGAGGAGGGAGCCAGCGCUCCAGGGCAGCCGGACUGGAGUUCAGAAGCCUCGGCUCCAGCUCCCUGCUCCCCACCUGCGGGCCUCGCCUUCCCCCCUCAGCCCCAAGGAGGGCACCGCGUGUGAAGGGCGUCACUCUCCCGUGCGCACGCUGGUUCCCUUCCUUCUUCCCGGUGACUGGGCUAAUUCACAGCCCGGGAAACCCCGAGACUGAGCCGGGAGCGGCCCAGGAGCCUGCAGCUGGUUUGAUCUCAGCCACCGCUGACUCCCAGACGCGGCCCUCAGCGCCAAACCGGCCUGAUCACUGCCAGACGCCACCCGGCUCCUGCUUCCCCGUUUGCGGUUCCCGCCCCCCACAGAUACUGCCCCUUUGGCUCCCGGGCUCAAGACCCGAGCUCUCUCCUUCUGGCCCGCAUGGAAUCCUGUAGGAGGCGGGAGGUGGCCCGCGUGACACACACGCGCCCCCAAUCCCUCCUGGUAAUGAUUGUUCCUGCGUGAUGCAGAGAAGCGCCAGGCAGCCUCGGAGCCCCUGCAGGCCGGGGACCAAAUCUGUCCCUCCCCUCCUUCCCAGGAGCGUCCAUUUCGGUCAAGAGGGAGGCCGUGUGGGAAGGGCCUAGAAGGGCUGGGGGCAAACAAGCCACAAGGACUGCGGCUGGGGUCGAUAUACAAGACAGGGCCUGGCUAUGUAGCCAGGCUGGCCUUCAACUCCCACGAUCCUCCUGCCUCAGCCGCACUCUCUCCAGAGUGCGGGGAUCGAAGGCGUGCGCCACCCCACUCAGCAUGCACUGGAUGAGAUCCCGAAGGCAGCUUCUUGUUUGGUCUCUGUCUCAUCUUGGCACCUUGGCCAGGAGUCGGGCCGUGAUCGGCAGGAGCAGAAAGAGCCGGGCUUCAUGAGGACAGAGGCUGUUCCUGCAGGGGUCUCCCUUUGCUCCCACCCCUCAGGGUCACUUCCUUCCCCUUCUAAGCUCAUUUCUAUUUUUGCUAAUAAAAAUAUGCUCUUUCCAGG
Molecule: non-coding RNA, 1272 nt
Organism: Heterocephalus glaber (naked mole-rat)
Lineage: Eukaryota; Metazoa; Chordata; Mammalia; Rodentia; Bathyergidae
Source: RefSeq, a predicted model, not a curated record